Long non-coding RNA from Aedes albopictus (Asian tiger mosquito), 1451 nucleotides. RefSeq lists it as uncharacterized. NCBI's taxonomy places the organism in Eukaryota, Metazoa, Arthropoda, Insecta, Diptera, Culicidae. The transcript is spliced from 5 exons. The record is from RefSeq and is a predicted model, not a curated record.
CGCACAAUUACAUCUGUCUCAACAUUACGCAAAAAAACAAUAACGAUUUUCCUUUCCGUUGAGUUUGUGUAAUAUUCACAUCGAGCAAAUGUGAAUAUUACACAGAAACAGCUGCAACCAACUGGUUGUGACAACGUUGUGUACGAUUACACAAAACCGAUGUGAUAUCGCAAAUGUUUGCGAUGCAAUAUUAAGUCUCGCAACACUGCUGUCACCGGCCGCAGUCUCGCGAUCAAGUAGCCAUAUUGUUUUUGUUUUAUCUCAGAGUGGCUGCUGUUUUUUCUACUUUUGAGAGGUGGCGAAAAAGCAUUCUCCUCCCGACGAGCGCAGGAAUUGGAAUCCAAGCGGAUGAUCACGGGGGGCAGUCCGGCUGUCACCCGGAAAGAUUUCGCUUUCUCCUUUCAAAUUAAGCGUUCCAGGUUCCAGUAAAUCCCAAAGUUGCUCUCUUAGCCGAUGAUAUCACAAUACAGCAACUUCCGGACAUUGCAAAAGUGUGCUCCGCUGGAGGAACCCUAUCAAGCUGAGGAAGAAAUGAAAGAGCAACAAACAACGAGCCAUCCGGGCCGGAAUGUAAAUGGUGAGAGCUGUCAGGAACAAUGUUUUGAGAAGAGACAGUAUCCCGUGUUGGCUGUCCGGCGGAUAACAGAAGGGCUGGGAACUGGUGGCACAGGAGUACAUCCGGCAUGGACAGUUUGAUCGAGUACGUUGGUGAGGCGAUCAGCAAUGAGAGACAGGCGUGAAGGUUACAUCAAAAGUGGCCAAGAAUGAUGAGAACACUUUCCUCGACUGUUUCCUUACGGUGGAUUCCGAGCUGACAAUCGAUACGUGUCCCAAGGAGAACCUCACGCGUUUCAUCAAUCACCCGUGCGAGUCAAACUGUCGGUCGGGUUGUUCGCAAUCGAGGACAUCAAAUCGGUCGAGGAACUAACCUUCAAACAUUUUCGGAAGCAAAAGUCCCGAGAAGAAGAUCAGCCACUGCAACGCGAGAAAAUAUUCCGGCUUCAUCGGGCAAAAGUGUCGUCCUCCGUCGGGCAAAAAGUCCAAAAGAUCGAAAAUCCUCCACAGCAGCGGACAAGAGGCGGAAAAGUGCCAUUGAAAAGGCGUCGAAGGACAAAACGCCGGGAGGUAGCAAGAGCUAGAAGUAAACAUCAGUGGUAAUGGAAUCGCUGAGGUCCUGUCGGGAGUGAAAGAUCUGAACCGGAUGUCCACCAGCCUUCGCUGCUGAUACGUUGGCCGUAGGCGAGAUAAUGUAGGAUGGAGAAUGCUUCGAAAGGCGAGGUGCUUUGCAGAAUGACGACGCCGCUGUCUUCAAGCGGUACUUUAUUCACCACUGCCGUCAGAAUGGUCGCCCUAGCUACUUUGUGCCCGCAGAACCAACUUGAAUUAUUAUAUAAUAAUCAUUAUUAUAAGUUAAUUAAAUUUUAUAAAAAAAAUUCUACAAUACAAAUAAA